UACGAACCGAGCGAACGUUGUUCGGAAUCACUGGGCUUAAAGGGCGCGUAGGCGGGCGCUCAAGUCCUGGGUGAAAUCCUCCAGCUCAACUGGAGAACUGCCUCGGAUACUGGGUGUCUCGAGUGUGGUAGGGGUAUGCGGAACUAUCGGUGGAGCGGUGAAAUGCGUUGAUAUCGAUAGGAACUCCGGUGGCGAAGGCGGCAUACUGGACCACUACUGACGCUGAUGCGCGAAAGCCAGGGGAGCAAACGGG
This 253-nucleotide ribosomal RNA is filed under the name uncultured bacterium. RNAcentral describes it as "partial 16S ribosomal RNA". It matches the Rfam family "Bacterial small subunit ribosomal RNA", at positions 524 to 776 of the family's 1533-position model. The record is from RNAcentral.